Molecule: unclassified non-coding RNA, 298 nt
Filed under: air metagenome
Description: partial contains small subunit ribosomal RNA, internal transcribed spacer 1, and 5.8S ribosomal RNA
Rfam family: Eukaryotic small subunit ribosomal RNA (bases 1-46)
Source: RNAcentral
AAGUCGUAACAAGGUUUCCGUAGGUGAACCUGCGGAAGGAUCAUUAUUGAAACUUCUUUGGAAAAUAGUACUGUUGCUGGCCUUGUAAUGAGGUAUGUGCACGUCUAUUACCAAUCUAUUCAUCCACCUGUGCACUUUUUGUAGGGGUUCUUUGAGGCUAUUUUGUACUUGUGCAAUUUGGUUUUAAAAAGCUUCUAUGUCUUAUAAACCCAUUAGUAUGUCUCUGAAUGUUCUUUAUUGGGACUUGAUUGGCCCUUUAAACAUAAUACAACUUUUAGCAACGGAUCUCUUGGCUCUC